AGCAAAUACACAGCGGUCUGGGAUUUUCAAGCCAUGAAAAAAAAGAUUAUGUCAUUUGCAGCUCCUCUUUCGUUGGAUGAGGCGAGAUCCACUGUACUUGGUGUAGUUUUUGCGAUGGACUGCAGUAUUGCGUGCUGUACCUACUGGAAACAGGAAUGAUAAUUCAAGGAUAACUAGCCCGGCUGGAGUUUACAUCAUUGCAUCAAAUGCCUGUUUCACCUGUUGUUUAAUGCGCUGGCUUGUAAAGUAUUAAUGAAGAUACAUUUAUGUUCUGUACUGGUGUAUUCUGACUUUAUUAUUAUUAUUAUUAUUAUUAUUAAUAACACCUAGUUGAAGAUGAAUGUAGUGCAGAUCAAUAUGUUGCACUGCCUCUUCUAAUAAACAUAUCAGAAGGCAAACGAUCUAACUGUACUUUGUUACAGCCAUUUUACUUAGUAUGAAAGAAAAACAACCGCAGCCUCAGACAGGGGAGAGAAAGAACAUCUUUGACAUGUUUAUCCACAAUCCAUUCAAAGAUAGUGGCACAGUACAGAGACAGCUGCUUUUUCGUGUGUGAGAUACAGACAUCACUUUGCUGUUGUAGUCUUGAGACAAAAACUGCAAGUGACGAGUAAAACAG
Molecule: non-coding RNA, 619 nt
Organism: Pelobates cultripes (western spadefoot toad)
Lineage: Eukaryota; Metazoa; Chordata; Amphibia; Anura; Pelobatidae
Source: the annotation of a GenBank genome assembly